GGAUGAGAACCUCCGGGGGCAAGAGGUUCGACUCGAGCGCAGCGAGAGAACGUUGCGUCAGCAACGGCCCGCAGGGCGAGCCACGCAGUGGCGAGUCAUCCUCUAUCACCGACCA
RNAcentral lists this small RNA (115 nucleotides) under Salmonella enterica. Its description in RNAcentral is "partial RtT sRNA". It matches the Rfam family "RtT RNA", at positions 20 to 130 of the family's 130-position model. From Rfam's summary of the family: This family represents a bacterial cis-regulatory element known as RtT RNA. RNAcentral also lists the same sequence under 2 other names. Lineage: Bacteria; Pseudomonadati; Pseudomonadota; Gammaproteobacteria; Enterobacterales; Enterobacteriaceae. The record is from RNAcentral.